RNAcentral lists this transfer RNA (73 nucleotides) under Morus notabilis. It matches the Rfam family "tRNA". Rfam says of the family: Transfer RNA (tRNA) molecules are approximately 80 nucleotides in length. The record is from Rfam by way of RNAcentral. Lineage: Eukaryota; Viridiplantae; Streptophyta; Magnoliopsida; Rosales; Moraceae.
AUGGGGAUGGCCGAGUUGGUCUAAGGCGCCAGUUUAAGGUUUGGUCGCGUGGGUUUAAAUCCCACUCUCCACA